This is a non-coding RNA of Triticum aestivum (bread wheat), 124 nucleotides long. Lineage: Eukaryota; Viridiplantae; Streptophyta; Magnoliopsida; Poales; Poaceae. The record is from Rfam.
GAGCAACUCUCUCCGUCCGGAAAUACUUGUCCGAGAAAUGGAUGUAUCUAGACGUAUUUUAGUUCUAGAUACAUUCAUUUCCAUCCAUUUCUAUGCAAGUAAUUCCGGACGGAGGGAGUACUUA